This 484-nucleotide ribosomal RNA is filed under the name uncultured bacterium. Its description in RNAcentral is "partial 16S ribosomal RNA". It matches the Rfam family "Bacterial small subunit ribosomal RNA", at positions 30 to 507 of the family's 1533-position model. The record is from RNAcentral.
AUUGAACGCUAGCGGGAUGCUUUACACAUGCAAGUCGAACGGCAGCGCGGACUUCGGUCUGGCGGCGAGUGGCGAACGGGUGAGUAAUGUAUCGGAACGUGCCCAGUAGCGGGGGAUAACUACGCGAAAGCGUAGCUAAUACCGCAUACGCCCUACGGGGGUAAGCAGGGGAUCGUAAGACCUUGCACCAUUGGAGCGGCCGAUGUCGGAUUAGCUAGUUGGUGGGGUAACGGCCCACCAAGGCGACGAUCCGUAGCUGGUUUGAGAGGAUGACCAGCCACACUGGGACUGAGACACGGCCCAGACUCCUACGGGAGGCAGCAGUGGGGAAUUUUGGACAAUGGGGGCAAGCCUGAUCCAGCCAUCCCGCGUGUGCGAUGAAGGCCUUCGGGUUGUAAAGCACUUUUGGCGGGAAAGAAACGCAGCAGGCUAAUACCCCGUGGAACUGACGGUACCUGCAGAAUAAGCACCGGCUAACUUCGUG